RNAcentral lists this ribosomal RNA (298 nucleotides) under uncultured Porphyromonadaceae bacterium. Its description in RNAcentral is "partial 16S ribosomal RNA". The record is from RNAcentral. Lineage: Bacteria; Pseudomonadati; Bacteroidota; Bacteroidia; Bacteroidales; Porphyromonadaceae.
GACUACUGGGGUAUCUAAGCCUGUUUGAUCCCCACGCCUUCGUGCAUGAGCGUCAGUAACGGUUUAGUAAGCUGCCUCCGCAAUCGGUGUUCCUUGUGAUAUCUACGCAUUUCACCGCUACACCACAAAUUCCGCCUACCUCAUCCGCACUCAAGAGAAACGGUUUCAACGGCACUGUCGAGGUUGAGCCCCGAAAUUUCACCGCCGACCUAAUUCCCCGCCUGCGCACCCUUUAAACCCAAUAAAUCCGGAUAACGCCUGGAUCCUCCGUAUUACCGCGCCUGCAGCCCCCCGUAGG